AGAACGAACGCUGGCGGCGCGCUUAACACAUGCAAGUCGGACGCUCCCUUCGGGGGGAGUGGCGGACGGGUGAGUAACGUGUGGGAACCUGCCCUGGAGUUCGGGACAACCGCGGGAAACUGCGGCUAACACCGGAUACGCCCUUAGGGGGAAAGUUUACGCUCUGGGAUGGGCCCGCGUCGGAUUAGCUUGUUGGUGGGGUAACGGCCUACCAAGGCAUCGAUCCGUAGCUGGUCUGAGAGGAUGGCCAGCCACACUGGGACUGAGACACGGCCCAGACUCCUACGGGAGGCAGCAGUGGGGAAUCUUGGACAAUGGGCGCAAGCCUGAUCCAGCGACGCCGCGUGGGUGACGAAGGCCUUCGGGUUGUAAAGCCCUUUUCUCGGGGGCGAUGAUGACGGUACCCGAGGAAUAAGCACCGGCUAACUCCGUGCCAGCAGCCGC
Molecule: ribosomal RNA, 444 nt
Filed under: uncultured bacterium
Lineage: Bacteria
Description: SSU rRNA
Rfam family: Bacterial small subunit ribosomal RNA
Source: RNAcentral